UUUCCGGUUGAUCCCGCCGGACCUGACUGCUAUCGGAUUGAUACUAAGCCAUGCGAGUCUUUGCAGUAAUGCAAGGCAUACGGCUCAGUAACACGUAGUCAACCUACCCUAUGGACGAGAAUAAUCUCGGGAAACUGAGCAUAAUUCUUGAUAGAUCAUAAUGCCUGGAAUGGUUUAUGGUUAAAAUGAUUCGUCGCCAUAGGAUGGGACUGCGGCCUAUCAGCUUGUUGGUGAGGUAAUGGCCCACCAAGGCGAUUACAGGUACGGGCUCUGAGAGGAGAAGCCCGGAGAUGGGUACUGAGACACGGACCCAGGCCCUAUGGGGCGCAGCAGGCGAGAAAACUUUGCAAUGUGCGAAAGCACGACAAGGUCAAUCCGAGUGGUUUCUGCUAAAGAAAUCUUUUGCCAGUCGUAAAACCGCUGGUGAAUAAGGGGUGGGCAAGUUCUGGUGUCAGCCGCCGCGGUAAAACCAGCACCUCAAGUGGUCAGGAUGAUUAUUGGGCCUAAAGCAUCCGUAGCCGGCUUUGUAAGUUUUCGGUUAAAUCCAUGUGCUCAACGCAUGGGCUGCCGAAAAUACUGCAUAGCUAGGGAGUGGGAGAGGUAGACGGUACUCAGUAGGUAGGGGUAAAAUCCUUUGAUCUAUUGAUGACCACCUGUGGCGAAGGCGGUCUACCAGAACACGUUCGACGGUGAGGGAUGAAAGCUGGGGGAGCAAACCGGAUUAGAUACCCGGGUAGUCCCAGCUGUAAACGAUGCAGACUAGGUGAUGCAUUGGCAUAAUAGCCAUUGCAGUGUCUCAGGGAAGCCGUUAAGUCUGCCGCCUGGGAAGUACGUACGCAAGUAUGAAACUUAAAGGAAUUGGCGGGGGAGCACCACAAGGGGUGAGGCCUGCGGUUCAAUUGGAGUCAACGCCGGG
Molecule: ribosomal RNA, 916 nt
Filed under: uncultured archaeon
Lineage: Archaea
Description: SSU rRNA
Rfam family: Archaeal small subunit ribosomal RNA
Source: RNAcentral